UACGUAGGCAGCGAGCGUUGUUCGGAGUUACUGGGCGUAAAGGGUGUGUAGGCGGUUUUCUAAGUUUGGUGUGAAAUCUCCCGGCUCAACUGGGAGGGUGCGCCGAAUACUGAGUGACUCGAGUGCGGGAGAGGAGAGUGGAAUUCCUGGUGUAGCGGUGAAAUGCGUAGAUAUCAGGAGGAACACCGGUGGUGUAGACGGCUCUCUGGACCGUAACUGACGCUGAGACACGAAAGCGUGGGUAGCAAACAGG
This 253-nucleotide ribosomal RNA is filed under the name uncultured bacterium. RNAcentral describes it as "partial 16S ribosomal RNA". It matches the Rfam family "Bacterial small subunit ribosomal RNA", at positions 524 to 776 of the family's 1533-position model. The record is from RNAcentral.